Molecule: long non-coding RNA, 609 nt
Filed under: Cercocebus atys (sooty mangabey)
Lineage: Eukaryota; Metazoa; Chordata; Mammalia; Primates; Cercopithecidae
Description: lncRNA (ENSCATG00000045799.1)
Source: RNAcentral
GCUGGCGCUGCUCUGAAGAAGGUGGCACCCAAUCUGGUGGUCAGUGGGUUCAGCCUGGUGGGAGGAUCAUCACAGACUUCAGGGACCUGGGCAGCCUUAGGGGACUAGGGUAGGUCAUCUCUUCCAGCCUCGUGCCCUCAACCCCAGAACCCUGGUCUGAGUCCUGGGUCACCCAGGACCACCCUGGACCCACUGGAAUUCCUCCACCACCACUUGGUCAAAGUUCUGCAGAGGUCUGAGGACAAGGGUCAGCUCGGGGGUCAGGAGAGGAUGAAGAGGUUCACAGCUCUACCAGACGAAGCCUCAUUCCUUGUGGUGCCCGGCCCACCCCUCUGAUGUGGGCCCUAAACCUCCAGCUGGCCCAGCCCUGCAGAGUGCAUCGGAGGCUGAACCCCUCUCCUGAUCUCCUGCAGGUGCAGAUUCCAGGUUUCCAAUGGGUGUUGGGGUGGGCUCCAGAGCUCUCCUGGCCCUAGGGAACCCUGGGCUCCAUAAGGCCUUGGCCUAGCCAGUUUCCCACACUGUCACCUCCCCAAACAUGGGACUGCAUGCUCUGUGCCUUGGGUGGGACAUUGGAAGGAGUUCCACCUUCCAGGUUUGGAUCACAGUAAA